AUGGUGUUGCGCGACCAUCAAGGACAGAUCAUCUUUGCAGCGUACCGUGUCCUGUUCCACUGCAACGACGCUCUGGAGGCUGAACUUCACGCGCUGCUGCAGGGUAUGGCCUUGGCCAUCCAACACUCGGUCCUUCCGGUCGUCGUCCAGUCAGACUCCUAUGAAGCCUUGGCGAAUCUCUCAAGCGAUGCUUUAUCUCGCUCCGCCUACGGUCAUUUGGUUCUAGAGAUUAAGGAGUUGAUAAGUAAUAGGGAGUUUGUACCUCUGAAAAUUUGUCGGUCUCAGAAUAGAGUUGCCGAUCGUUAG
This 306-nucleotide ribosomal RNA is filed under the name Triticum aestivum (bread wheat). RNAcentral describes it as "partial small subunit ribosomal RNA". The record is from RNAcentral. Lineage: Eukaryota; Viridiplantae; Streptophyta; Magnoliopsida; Poales; Poaceae.